UACGUAGGGUGCGAGCGUUAAUCGGAAUUACUGGGCGUAAAGCGUGCGCAGGCGGUGAUGUAAGACAGGUGUGAAAGCCCCGAGCUUAACUUGGGAAUUGCGCUUGUGACUGGCGUGCUGGAGUGUGGCAGAGGGAGGUGGAAUUCCACGUGUAGCAGUGAAAUGCGUAGAGAUGUGGAGGAACACCGAUGGCGAAGGCAGCCUCCUGGGCCAGCACUGACGCUCAUGCACGAAAGCGUGGGGAGCAAACAGG
RNAcentral lists this ribosomal RNA (253 nucleotides) under uncultured bacterium. RNAcentral describes it as "partial 16S ribosomal RNA". It matches the Rfam family "Bacterial small subunit ribosomal RNA", at positions 524 to 776 of the family's 1533-position model. The record is from RNAcentral.